RNAcentral lists this ribosomal RNA (207 nucleotides) under uncultured bacterium. RNAcentral describes it as "partial 16S ribosomal RNA". It matches the Rfam family "Bacterial small subunit ribosomal RNA", at positions 568 to 774 of the family's 1533-position model. The record is from RNAcentral.
UGCGUAGGUGGCAAGGCAAGUCUGAAGUGAAAAUCCGGGGCUCAACCCCGGAACUGCUUUGGAAACUGUUUAGCUAGAGUACAGGAGAGGUAAGUGGAAUUCCUAGUGUAGCGGUGAAAUGCGUAGAUAUUAGGAGGAGCACCAGUGGCGAAGGCGACUUACUGGACUGCUACUGACACUGAGGCACGAAAGCGUGGGGAGCAAACA